UAUACUUCACCUAUGUUUCAAAGUUUUUCAUAAGUUUUCAAAAUAAAACUCAGAGUUCCCAGCAAUGAUUCUCUCAAGUCUCUCUAUAUGUGGUAUUUGUGGAUCCUUACCAAAAUGCCACUUACCUAUAGCUAAUGGAAUAUUUAAGUGGAGCUCAUAGGAGUGAAAAAAAAACAGCUCAUACAUAUGUUGUCUAAUCGAGCCAUGGAUCCAAAGGAACUCAGCAGAUAAUUAAAUCAAGAUGUGCAUGUGUGAUGGAGUAAAUGAUAGUGAUGGUAAAAAUGCAUAAGUGAUAAUAAAACUUAGUUCUCAUUGCUCCUCAUAUUGUUAUCUCUCCACUUCUCUGAUCUUUGCUUUGGGAGAACAUGGGCUAUCUUUUUCUUUUCUUUUUUUCAGGUGGGUAGUAGAUACCCCUAAUUCUACUAUCGGACACUUGUCCAUUUUUUCCGCUCAAGUGGGCAUCUUUGUACCCCUAAUUCUACUCCGAACACUUGUCCAUUUUUACCUCUCGUCUCACUCUUUUUCUUUCUUUUUCGAGGUUCCGGGCACUUGCCCCUUUUUAUUUCCUCGCAUAUUUUUGCAUAACCCAUGCCUCUUCUGCAUUGAAUCUUUUUAGAGAGAGAAAAUAACAAUACUUGGUACAGUGAGUGAUAAUAUAUUAUUAUUUUUUUAGCAAUUUUAAUGAUUGGUGAUGAAUGCUAUGGUAGAUGUGUGCAAGUGAAUAUCUUAAUUUAACCACAUGAAAAGCUCCUAAGGGUCUACACAGCUCGAUCAAACUCAAUGUAAAUAUAGUAAAAGAUGUUAUAGCAAGUGUGGCUGUGGUAGGUAGUUGUAAUGCUAGGAACUCAUCAUGUGAUUUGUAAGUUUUCAAAAUAAAUCUCCAGAACUUAGUGUAGUAGGAACAAGAUAAACAGCAGCUCAACUUUAUAUCAUGCCUUCCUCUUACCUAGACAUUUAGUUUUAUGCUUCCCAAAGAUAGUAAGUUUUAGUAAUUCCUGGAAGAACUCUAAUAUAAAAACUAGGUACUCGAAAGUAAGCAAACAGAGCAACUGCUCAUCAUUUCCAUU
This 1067-nucleotide long non-coding RNA is filed under the name Sorghum bicolor (sorghum). RNAcentral describes it as "long non-coding RNA (SBIC_LNC006496)". Lineage: Eukaryota; Viridiplantae; Streptophyta; Magnoliopsida; Poales; Poaceae. The record is from RNAcentral.